Molecule: long non-coding RNA, 1687 nt
Filed under: Salmo salar (Atlantic salmon)
Lineage: Eukaryota; Metazoa; Chordata; Actinopteri; Salmoniformes; Salmonidae
Description: lncRNA (ENSSSAG00000087108.1)
Source: RNAcentral
CCAGUAGUUUUAAGUAGUUUAUUAUCAUUCAGAGGUUUCAUAUCAACAUGUCAGAAAAUGAUCACAUGACCAACAACAAGGGACAACUUUACAUAUGACCAACUGUAGGACAAGACAAUGGAACUUUUUUGGGGGAAGAGGUAGGAGGGGGAGAGAGGAUGGAGAGGGAGAGAGGUAGGAGAGGGAGCGGGGAGGAGAGGGAGAGAGGAGGAGAGGGAGAGAGGAGAGGGGGAGGGGAGAGGGGGAGGAAAGGGAGAGAGGGAGGAGAGGGAGAGAGGAGGAGAGGGAGAGAGGAUGGAGAGGGAGAGGAGAGGGAGAGAGGAGGAGAGGGAGAGAGGAGGAGAGGGAGAGAGGAGAGGGGGAGAGGAGAGGGAGAGAGGAGGAGAGGGAGAGAGGUAGGAGAGGGAGAGAGGUAGGAGAGGGAGAGAGGAGAGGGAGAGGGGAGAGGGGAGGAGAGGGAGAGAGGUAGGAGAGGGAGAGAGGAGAGGGAGAGAGGUAGGAGAGGGAGCGGGGAGGAGAGGGAGAGAGGAGGAGAGGGAGAGAGGGAGAGAGGAGGAGAGGGAGAGAGGAGGAGAGGGAGCGGGGAGGAGAGGGAGAGAGGAGGAGAGGGAGAGAGGAAGGAGAGGGAGAGAGGAGAGGGGGAGAGGAGAGGGGGAGGAGAGGGAGAGAGGGAGGAGAGGGAGAGAGGAGGAGAGGGAGAGAGGUAGGAGAGGGAGAGAGGUAGGAGAGGGAGAGAGGAGAGGGAGAGGGGAGAGGGGAGGAGAGGGAGAGAGGUAGGAGAGGGAGAGAGGAGAGGGAGAGAGGAGGAGAGGGAGAGAGGGAGAGAGGAGGAGAGGGAGAGAGGAGGAGAGGGAGCGGGGAGGAGAGGGAGAGAGGAGGACAGGGAGAGAGGAGGAGAAGGGAGAGAGGAAGGAGAGGGAGAGAGGAGGAGAGGGAGAGAGGAGGAGAGGGAGAGAGGAGGACAGGGAGAGAGGAGGAGAGGGAGCGGGGAGGAGAGGGAGAGAGGAGGACAGGGAGAGAGGAGGACAGGGAGAGAGGAGGAGAGGGAGCGGGGAGGAGAGGGAGAGAGGAGGACAGGGAGAGAGGAGGAGAGGGAGAGAGGAAGGAGAGGGAGAGAGGAGGAGAGGAAGGAGAGGGAGAGAGGAGGAGAGGAGGAGAGGGAGAGAGGAGGAGAGUUAGCGGGGAGGAGGGGGAGAGAGGUAGGAGAGGGAGAGAGAAGAAGAGGGAGAGGGGUAGGAGAGGGAGAGACCCCCUCCUCCUCAGGCUCUCCUCCCAUCGCCCAUAGCUCGGCUGGGGAGCUGCCUGGGGGUGAGGCGAUGGGUGAGGCGAGGAUCAGAAUGGGUAGAAGCUUGGGUCCCCCUUACUGGGGGGCUCUUCUCCAGGGGUUACCUGCACCUCCACUCCCUCCCCCCUCCCUCACCCCUACACCCCCCUCUGUCCCCUUCUCCACGGCCCCCUCAAUCUGUACCCCUACCGCACCUCCCACCUCAGGUUUGGGGGUCUCCUGCCCCCCCAAGGCCAUCGGGGCUUCAGUCGGGGGGUUCCCCAGGUGGGCGUGGCCGGGGUCAGGGGUCAGAGGUAAGGGGUCAAGGGUUAAGGGUGAAAGGUCAGGGUUCGGGUCCACACUCAGCCCCUGGCUCUGGUACGCUGGGAUCACUGGAGGCAGCAUCACCCUGGUGUAGACGAC